RNAcentral lists this unclassified non-coding RNA (2836 nucleotides) under Hevea brasiliensis (rubber tree). The record is from RNAcentral. Lineage: Eukaryota; Viridiplantae; Streptophyta; Magnoliopsida; Malpighiales; Euphorbiaceae.
CAUACUUGCAAACAAAGUUAGGCAAAUACCCACAAUCACUUGUUUCUUCUUCACUAUAGAUUUGCUUAUUCCAGUACUUCAUUUUUCUCUGUCUAAGACUAAGAGAGAAAAUCAUGGAUUCCCAGGCGGUGAAGAGAACACCUUCUUCCCGCAAAGAAACUGAAAUGCUCCGAACAGCCAUGAAGCUGCUUCUAAUACUAGUGAUGCUGGGCUAUCUCAUGAUGUGGUUUAUGAUGCCCACUAACACAUACCGUCAUAUAUGGCUUCUCCAUAUCCGAAAUAAGUUUAAUUCCGCUUACUUUGGCAUACAAGGUUUGAUUCCUUUAGUUAAUUAAUUUCCUUUUCAUUUCAGAAACUGAUUUUCUAUAAUGGAGCUUUUGCACAUAUAUAUACAUCUAUUUCAGGUGCAACCCUGUUGAUAUACUUCUUCCCCAUUCUUUUCGUUGCUGUCUUGGGCUGUGUUUAUCUCCACCUGGGGAAGAGAUCAAAUCACAACAAUUUCGAAAGGCAAUUAUAAAUCCAUUUCAGGGUACCCUUUUUCUUUUGAUUUACUUCUUAACUUUCUAUUUCUAUCUCCACAGCAAUGGCAGAAAACACAUCUUGGCCACUUGGAAGAAUCCGAUGGUAGUGAAAGGCCCCCUAGGAAUCGUUUCUGGAGUAGAGCUGGCCUUCUUGAUCAUGUUCGUCGCACUACUAAUUUGGUCUCUAUCAACUUAUUUACAUAACAGCUUUGCUACUAUUACUCCGAAGAGAGGAGAGCAAGCAUGGGAAGCUAAACUGGAGAGUGCGGCCCUUAGGCUAGGGUUAAUUGGGAACAUAUGUCUGGCAUUUCUCUUCUUCCCGGUGACUCGUGGGUCAUCGGUGCUGCCACUGCUUGGGCUCACCUCUGAGGGUAGCAUUAAGUACCAUGUAUGGAUUGGUCAUAUGGUGAUGGCAUUCUUCACUGCACAUGGAGUUGGCUACAUCAUCUAUUGGGCUGUUACAAAUCAGAUUUCCGAGAUGCUGAAAUGGGGUAGGGCUGAGAUAUCAAACGUGGCUGGGGAGCUAUCUUUGCUGGCUGGGCUGGGCCUGUGGGCGACAACCUUCCCCCGCAUAAGGCGAAACAUGUUUGAGCUCUUCUUCUACACUCAUCAUCUCUACAUUCUCUUCAUGAUUUUCUUUCUCCUGCACGUUGCCAUCUCCUUCUCCUGUAUUAUGCUCCCUGGAUUUUACCUUUUCUUGGUCGAUCGCUACCUGAGAUUCUUACAAUCUCGACAAAGAGUUCGUUUAGUUUCAGCCCGCAUUUUGCCAUGUGAAACUUUAGAAAUCAACUUCUCUAAAAGCCCAGGUGAAAGAUUAAUCUCUACUUUUUUGUUUUUUUAUCAAGAGAAGACUCCUCUUGACUUUCUUACAAGUGAUGAUCAUAUAUAUUGAUGAUUGAUAUGUUUUUAACUUGUUUUGUAAUUUAUACUGCAAGGUUUGAGUUAUAAUCCAACCAGCGUUCUAUUUGUAAAUGUGCCUACCAUUUCUAAGCUGCAAUGGCAUCCAUUCACUGUCACUUCUAAUAGCAACUUAGAACAAGAGAUGUUGAGUGUUGUGCUUAAAAGUGAAGGGAGUUGGUCCAAGAAGCUGUAUCAGAUGCUUUCAUCACCUUCCUCAAUUGAUCGUCUUGAAGUUUCAGUUGAAGGACCUUAUGGACCUGCUUCAACUCAGUUUCUAAGGCAUGAUACUCUUGUGAUGGUGAGUGGAGGCAGUGGAAUUACUCCUUUCAUAUCUAUAAUUCGAGAACUCAUCUUUGCAGCCACAACAUACAAAUGCAAGACUCCACAAGUAAUCCUAAUUUGCUCAUUCAAGAACUCUUCAGACCUAACCAUGUUAGACCUGCUACUUCCAAUAGCUGGUACCCCACCAGCAAUUUCCAAUCUGCAACUUAAAAUUGACGCUUAUGUUACGAGAGAGAAAGAACCCUCAUUCAAUAACUCGAAACUCCUUCGAACUAUAUGGUUCAAACCCCACCCAACAGAUGCACCUGUUUCGCCCAUUUUAGGCCCCAGUAGCUGGCUCUGGCUUGGCGCUAUAAUAUCAUCUUCUUUUAUCAUUUUCCUCAUCAUAAUUGGCCUUAUUACCCGCUAUUAUAUUUAUCCUAUCGAUCACAACACCUUGAAAGUUUUCUCAUACUCUUUUCGAUCCUUUCUGAAUAUGUUAGUAAUAUGCAUAUGCAUAGCCAUGACAGCAAGUGCAGCAAUUUUGUGGAACAAGAAACAAAAUGCAAGGGAAGCAAAUCAGAUUAAGAACCUUGAAGCGUACACAUCAAGUAGAACACCAGGCUCAUGGUUAUAUGAUGCUGAGAGAGAAUCGGAAAGUCUCCCUCUUCAGUCUCUUGUCCAGGCUACUAACGUGCACUAUGGUGAAAGACCUGACCUAAAGAGAAUGCUGGUUGAUUGCAAAGGAUCAAGCGUGGGAGUUCUUGUUUGUGGUCCGAAGAAGAUGAGGCAUGAGAUUGCAACAAUUUGUUCAUCUGGAUUGGCAAAUAAUUUGCACUUUGAAUUCAUUAGCUUUAGUUGGUGAUCUCAUCUUUUUCUUCUUCAUUUUUUUGCGUGCGUGUGGGUGUUUUGGUUUUAGGGGGCUGCGGAAGACCCUGGACAAGUUUCAGUCGGUUCUGCUCCAAGUCACUUUAAGCAGCAAUAGGUUUCUGGAUUUGUAAUUUGUAGGGUUUGUAUACGUGGAAAAUUACUGUGCCAUUGGCCGUAUGAAAUCCAGUUGCGUUGUUCAUACGCAAAUUUUAUUGUUUAAUGCAAGUAUCAAGUGAUGCGCUUGAGGUUGUUGCCAUUUUGGUUUGCUCGUGAAUGAAUAGCCG